GACGCAUCUAGUGAUUUUAAAAAGAUUGGCCAGCGCAUCUUUGUUUUUAUUAUUGGUGGAGCCACUCGGUCUGAGCUUCGUGUAGUGCAUAAACUCUCUUCUAAGCUCAAUAGGGAAAUUAUCCUUGGUUCAACUAGUCUCGAUGAUCCCGCGCAGUUUAUUACGAAACUGAAGUUGCUCUCUGCUGAAGAUAUAUCACUGGAUGGCCUUCAGAUAUAACUCUCGUCUCUCCUGUGUCAGUAAUCAUCCUGUUUUUUAGAUUCUUUUAUCUUUCCCUAAAAUUAAGAAUCUUGUUCAGAUUUAUAGUAUCAGGAAGUAAGUAGUUUCCAUGAGCAACACAUUUUUAAGGAAUUAAAUAGUAAAUAGUUACAUGUACAAUGAAUUAUGGCAUUAUCUAUAAACAGUUUAGUUUCCAGGUAUAUGGGCCAUGGGGAUUGAAAUGGAGAGUAUGGCUGAGAAAAUUUUACCUGCAAUGUACUUUAUAGGUUUUUAAAUACCACAUUAUAUAUGCCAUGCUUUAAAUUUUCUUAA
Molecule: long non-coding RNA, 531 nt
Organism: Dendrobium catenatum
Lineage: Eukaryota; Viridiplantae; Streptophyta; Magnoliopsida; Asparagales; Orchidaceae
Exons: 3
Source: RefSeq, a predicted model, not a curated record